GAUGAACGCUGGCGGCGUGCCUAAUACAUGCAAGUCGAGCGAACGGACGAGAAGCUUGCUUCUCUGAUGUUAGCGGCGGACGGGUGAGUAACACGUGGAUAACCUACCUAUAAGACUGGGAUAACUUCGGGAAACCGGAGCUAAUACCGGAUGAUAUUUUGAACCGCAUGGUUCAAAAGUGAAAGACGGUCUUGCUGUCACUUAUAGAUGGAUCCGCGCUGCAUUAGCUAGUUGGUAAGGUAACGGUUACCAAGGCAACGAUGCAUAGCCGACCUGAGAGGGUGAUCGGCCACACUGGAACUGAGACACGGUCCAGACUCCUACGGGAGGCAGCAGUAGGGAAUCUUCCGCAAUGGGCGAAAGCCUGACGGAGCAACGCCGCGUGGGUGAUGAAGGUCUUCGGAUCGUAAAACUCUGUUAUUAGGGAAGAACAUAUGUGUAAGUAACUGUGCACAUCUUGACGGUACCUAAUCAGAAAGCCACGGCUAACUACGUG
Molecule: ribosomal RNA, 496 nt
Filed under: uncultured bacterium
Lineage: Bacteria
Description: partial 16S ribosomal RNA
Rfam family: Bacterial small subunit ribosomal RNA
Source: RNAcentral